AUUGAACGCUGGCGGCAGGCCUAACACAUGCAAGUCGAGCGGAAGAAGGGAGCUUGCUCCUGGCUUCAGGGGCGGGCGGGAGAGUAGUGCCUAGAAAUAUGCCGGGGAGGGGGGGAUCACGUCCGGAAACGGGCGCUAAUACCGCAUGCGCCGUGAGGGAGAAAGGGGGGGAGCUUCGGAACGCUCGCUCUCGCGUGAGUCUAGGUCGGAUUAGCGAGUUGGUGGGGUAAAGGCCUACCAAGGCGACGAUCCGUAACUGGUCUGAGAGGAUGAUCAGUCACACUGGAACUGAGACACGGCCCAGACUCCUACGGGAGGCAGCAGUGGGGAAUAUUGGACAAUGGGCGCAAGCCUGAUCCAGCCAUGCCGCGUGUGUGAAGAAGGUCUUCGGAUUGUAAAGCACUUUAGGUUGGGAGGAAGGGCAGUAAGUUAAUACCUGGCUGUUUUGACGUUACCAGCAGAAUAAGCACCGGCUAACUACGUG
Molecule: ribosomal RNA, 484 nt
Filed under: uncultured bacterium
Lineage: Bacteria
Description: partial 16S ribosomal RNA
Rfam family: Bacterial small subunit ribosomal RNA
Source: RNAcentral